This 89-nucleotide transfer RNA is filed under the name bacterium. Its description in RNAcentral is "tRNA-Leu". It matches the Rfam family "tRNA". Rfam says of the family: Transfer RNA (tRNA) molecules are approximately 80 nucleotides in length. Their secondary structure includes four short double-helical elements and three loops (D, anti-codon, and T loops). The record is from RNAcentral. RNAcentral also lists the same sequence under 2 other names.
GCCUGAGUGGCGGAAUAGGUAGACGCACAGGACUUAAAAUCCUGCGAGCUUCAACACUCGUGUCGGUUCAAGUCCGACCUUAGGCACCA